This 253-nucleotide ribosomal RNA is filed under the name uncultured bacterium. RNAcentral's name for it is "partial 16S ribosomal RNA". It matches the Rfam family "Bacterial small subunit ribosomal RNA", at positions 524 to 776 of the family's 1533-position model. The record is from RNAcentral.
UACGUAGGGACCAAGCGUUGUUCGGAUUCAUUGGGCGUAAAGGGCGCGUAGGCGGCUUAACAAGUCACUUGUGAAAUCUCCGGGCUUAACUCGGAACGGCCAAGUGAAACUGUUAUGCUAGAGUGCAGAAGGGGCAAUCGGAAUUCUUGGUGUAGCGGUGAAAUGCGUAGAUAUCAAGAGGAACACCUGAGGUGAAGACGGGUUGCUGGGCUGACACUGACGCUGAUGCGCGAAAGCCAGGGGAGCAAACGGG